AACUAUAAGCGGUGGAUCACUCGGAUCAUGGGUCGAGGAAGAACGCAGCAACCUGCGCGUCAUCGUGCGAACUGCAGGACACAUGAACAUCGCCAUUUUGAACGCAUGGAGCAGUACAAGCGGUUAGGUACUUUACUUAAUUUUAUAGUGGUGCUGGGAGUCCAUGUGCUCGAGGGUCG
RNAcentral lists this ribosomal RNA (179 nucleotides) under Drosophila erecta. RNAcentral describes it as "5.8S ribosomal RNA". It matches the Rfam family "5.8S ribosomal RNA". From Rfam's summary of the family: 5.8S ribosomal RNA (5.8S rRNA) is a component of the large subunit of the eukaryotic ribosome. Lineage: Eukaryota; Metazoa; Arthropoda; Insecta; Diptera; Drosophilidae. The record is from RNAcentral.